ACUAAAUUCCUGUGAUGAACAUUACUUAUAAGCUUCACUUCACUUUCAAAUUGUUCAUCCAUCUUAUGGCAUCAGCCUUCACUGAUAACUCUUUGAAACCAUUCUACCAGCAAAAUGGUUUCAGAGUACAACUCUCUGAAACCAUUCUACCAGCUAAAUGGUUUUAGAGUAUAACUCUCUGAAACCAUUCUAAAAUCAAUUUUAAACACCUCAAUAAAAAAAGCCUAACAUACACAGUGAUUAGAAACAGAAAAUGGAUCAUGUGCCUUUCUAAAGGUGAGAUUUGUUAAGGUCCAACUCAAAAAUAGAUCAUUUAAGCAACAGAAAAUUCAUAGAAGAAACAUACAUUUAAUGAGAUAUAAACAAUAGGAAUGGACCAAAAAAUGUAUCUUGGAAUUUGAUCUGAAUAUGCAUAUGAAACCUGAAUAU
RNAcentral lists this long non-coding RNA (429 nucleotides) under Trifolium pratense (red clover). RNAcentral's name for it is "long non-coding RNA (TPRA_LNC010888)". Lineage: Eukaryota; Viridiplantae; Streptophyta; Magnoliopsida; Fabales; Fabaceae. The record is from RNAcentral.